CAACGGAUCUCUUGGUUCUGGCAUCGAUGAAGAACGCAGCGAAAUGCGAUAAGUAAUGUGAAUUGCAGAAUUCAGUGAAUCAUCGAAUCUUUGAACGCACRUUGCGCCCCUUGGUAUUCCGGGGGGCAUGCCUGUUCGAGCGUCAUUGCAACCCUCAAGCUCUGCUUGGUAUUGGGCGUCCGCGGCCUCCUCCGGGGGGCGGCGCGCCCGUAAGUUAGUGGCGGUCCAGGGAGACUUCAAGCGCAGUAGAACCUUUCGCUUUCGAGGUGUCGUCUGCGGCCCGGCCGUAAAACCCCCCAUCUUUCAAUGAUUGACCUCGGAUCAGGUAGGGAUACCCGCUGAACUUAAGCAUAUCAAUAA
RNAcentral lists this ribosomal RNA (360 nucleotides) under Caloplaca aff. cerinella BD16. Its description in RNAcentral is "eukaryotic LSU rRNA". The stretch from base 1 to 145 matches the Rfam family "5.8S ribosomal RNA". The record is from RNAcentral. Lineage: Eukaryota; Fungi; Ascomycota; Lecanoromycetes; Teloschistales; Teloschistaceae.